CAGUCGCCACGGUAAAACGGAGGGUGCAAGCGUUAAUCGGAAUUACUGGGCGUAAAGCGUGCGUAGGCGGUUCGUUAAGUCUGUUGUGAAAGCCCCGGGCUCAACCUGGGAAUGGCAAUGGAUACUGGCGAGCUAGAGUGUGUCAGAGGAUGGUGGAAUUCCCGGUGUAGCGGUGAAAUGCGUAGAGAUCGGGAGGAACAUCAGUGGCGAAGGCGGCCAUCUGGGACAACACUGACGCUGAGGCACGAAAGCGUGGGGAGCAAACAGGAUUAGAUACCCCGGUAGUCCCUGUCUCUUAUAC
RNAcentral lists this ribosomal RNA (301 nucleotides) under uncultured bacterium. RNAcentral's name for it is "partial 16S ribosomal RNA". It matches the Rfam family "Bacterial small subunit ribosomal RNA", at positions 509 to 807 of the family's 1533-position model. The record is from RNAcentral.